RNAcentral lists this non-coding RNA (135 nucleotides) under bovine gut metagenome. Its description in RNAcentral is "FMN riboswitch (RFN element)". It matches the Rfam family "FMN riboswitch aptamer (RFN element)". Rfam says of the family: The RFN element is a highly conserved domain that is found frequently in the 5'-untranslated regions of prokaryotic mRNAs that encode for flavin mononucleotide (FMN) biosynthesis and transport proteins. This element is a metabolite-dependent riboswitch that directly binds FMN in the absence of proteins. The record is from RNAcentral.
UAUCUUCAGGGCAGGGUGCAAUUCCCGACCGGCGGUAUAAGAGAUGGUGAUAGCGCAUCUCCUGAGUCCGCGAGCCGCAAGGCAUGAUCCGGUGCGAUCCCGGGACCGACAGUAUAGUCUGGAUGGAAGAAGAUG